UCCGAUUUUAAAAACCUUCAAGACUAUAAAAAAAAAUUCUAAUAUAUAUUUUUACAUAUUUAACAAAAAUAUUGAUUUGGUACGCAAGUAAUAGUCUGGUGAGAAUGAGACUUAGACGACCAAAACCUAGGUAAUUAAGGGAUAUAAGUUCCUUGUACCAUGAAAGGAAAAAAAAAAAAACAAAGACAAAAGUUUAAAUAAUAUUUAAUAAUCCAACCUCUUGAAAGACAUUCAAUUAAAUUAUUGAGAAAAAAAAGGGCUGCUAUAGAAGACCCCUCCAUGUGCACAAGCAUUAAAGGCAGGUGAAGAAGCCAAAGUUGUUAAGAACAUUCCGCUAAAGCACCACUAUUUUAUUCUUUCUACUUCAUUAUUAUUUAAUCUAUCAUAGAUGGAUAAUCUCAUCUUAAUUAAAUCUCAU
RNAcentral lists this long non-coding RNA (418 nucleotides) under Gossypium raimondii (Peruvian cotton). Its description in RNAcentral is "long non-coding RNA (GRAI_LNC003916)". Lineage: Eukaryota; Viridiplantae; Streptophyta; Magnoliopsida; Malvales; Malvaceae. The record is from RNAcentral.